RNAcentral lists this microRNA precursor (196 nucleotides) under Oryza rufipogon (brownbeard rice). RNAcentral describes it as "MIR812 microRNA precursor family". It matches the Rfam family "MIR812 microRNA precursor family". Lineage: Eukaryota; Viridiplantae; Streptophyta; Magnoliopsida; Poales; Poaceae. The record is from Rfam by way of RNAcentral.
AAUACCAUGGUUUUCCACGUCCAACUUUAACCAUUUGUCUUAUUUAAAAAAAAUUAAAAAAAUUAAAAACAUAAGUCACGAGUAAAGUACUAUUCAUGUUUUAUCAUCUUAUAACAAUAAAAAUAUUAAUUAUAAAAAAAUUUUAAAUAAGACGGACUAUCAAAGUUGGACGCGGAAAAUCAUGGCUGCAUUUAUU